This is a non-coding RNA of Heligmosomoides polygyrus, 71 nucleotides long. NCBI's taxonomy places the organism in Eukaryota, Metazoa, Nematoda, Chromadorea, Rhabditida, Heligmosomidae. The record is from Rfam.
GCGCCGGUGGUGUAAGGCGAACAUCGCUGCCCGAAAAGCAGAAGAUGAGGGUUCGAGUCCCGUCUGGCGCA